Molecule: ribosomal RNA, 253 nt
Filed under: uncultured bacterium
Lineage: Bacteria
Description: partial 16S ribosomal RNA
Rfam family: Bacterial small subunit ribosomal RNA
Source: RNAcentral
UACGUAGGGUGCGAGCGUUGUCCGGAAUUACUGGGCGUAAAGAGCUCGUAGGUGGUUUGUCGCGUUGUUCGUGAAAACUCACAACUCAAUUGUGGGCGUGCGGGCGAUACGGGCAGACUGGAGUGCUGCAGGGGAGACUGGAAUUCCUGGUGUAGCGGUGGAAUGCGCAGAUAUCAGGAGGAACACCGGUGGCGAAGGCGGGUCUCUGGGCAGUAACUGACGCUGAGGUGCGAAAGCGUGGGGAGCAAACAGG